RNAcentral lists this unclassified non-coding RNA (351 nucleotides) under Naegleria sp. RNG398. RNAcentral's name for it is "partial contains ITS1, 5.8S rRNA, ITS2, and 28S rRNA". The stretch from base 34 to 178 matches the Rfam family "5.8S ribosomal RNA". The record is from RNAcentral. Lineage: Eukaryota; Heterolobosea; Eutetramitea; Acrasida; Naegleriidae.
CUGGUAAAAAGGUGAAAACCUUUUUUACCCCCAAACUCUGUGCAAUGGAGCACACGGCUUAUGCAUCGAUGAAGCCCGCGGCAAAAAGCGAUAUGUAAUGAGAUUCGUUAGCCUCGCGAUUCAUCAAAUUGGUGAACACAUACUGGACCUCUUCGGAGGUACUUGCGUUAGAGUGCUAGUUUUCUAUCAAUUGAUCCUGGUAAAAGGUGUUUGAAUCGUUAGGUUCUUACGCCCUAGCCGGUGGAGCCGGAUUCUCUGAGAAUUCGGAUUGUUCCUGGUCUUUGACUGGGUCAAUCACUUUUAUUAAACUGGCCUCUAAUGUGAGAGGGUACCCCCUGGAUUUAAGCAUAU